GGCUAUGUCUGGCUUUUGUGGAAAGCAGAUUCAACAUAUCGAAGGGAAAUGAAAACGCAGACGGCAGCUUCCAGAUCAACAGCCAUUACUGGUGCAAUGAUGACAGGAGUCACUCAGAAAACAUUUGCCACGAGGACUGUCAAGGUCUGGCCAGGGCUCCAGGGUGGGGAAGCUCUACUCACAAGACUUCUAUUCCUAUGCAAGGCCUGGGAAUGUCCCCAGAGGGACUGCCCAUGGAGUCCAGGAAUGUUUUUGCUGAGCAGAGGACUUGACAAGUGGCUGUAGUGCCCAUCCACUUAGCAUAUUCUUUGGUGUACGGGUUCUAGAAAAGCUCUGCAUAGUUAAUAGCAGAGCAGGAGCAACAGCAGCAGCCAACAUUUCUUGAGAGUGUGUUAUAUACUAACCAUUUUACCUGCAGAGCCCAUUUUACCCAGUGUUUCAUGUGAUGGAAACUAUUAUGCCCACUUUUCAGAUGAGCAAACUGAGACUCAUAGAACCAGUGCCGAAUUCCAGGCUGGUGGCCCUGAAGGCUCCACUCUAACCAUCAAGUAAAAACUUUGGCCAAUGUCUGAUUAAAGGCCAAGUGCAAACUGCCCACCUCAGAGCCGCUCCAGGAGGCUCCAUAGGUCCAUGACUUGGACCUUCUCUCCUCUUUCAUACUCUGAUUCAUAUCCCGAGACUCUUCAUCUGAAGAGCCUCCCUGAUCAGGCAAGAUAUACCUUGGUCUCUAUGCUGCCUGUUUUGACAUCUCCUUUCCCUAGAAACCCUCAAACGUGGCAUGAACUACCAUCUACCCUGACUAGGAAGUAUGGGGGUAAACAGUUGUCCUGUGCCUCCUGCCAGAACCCAGGCCACUCCCUAUCCCCAUUGUGGGGAUGUCUAAAUAGGCCUCUGGGAGGGAGGCUUUGCCUAAUCUGGAAAUACUCAGCCCCUGGGGGGUACAUGCCAGCGCAGGGACAAGCCAAGGAGAGAGAGCUUGCCUCAGUCUUAGUCCUCUGUUCUCACAGGUGUGCUCGCUCUCUCUCUCUCUCUCUCUCUCUCUCUCUCCCUUCCAGAUGUACUGAGCCUCAAUCUUCUCUCAGCCAUCAGCUGUGCAAAAAAAAGAUUGUCUCUGGAGCAGGGGGUAUGAAGAACUGGGUAGCAUGGAGGUUGCACUGUGCAGGCCGGCCACUCUCCUACUGGAUGACAGGAUGUUUCUCGGGAUGA
RNAcentral lists this long non-coding RNA (1206 nucleotides) under Canis lupus dingo (dingo). RNAcentral describes it as "lncRNA (ENSCAFG00020026946.1)". The record is from RNAcentral. Lineage: Eukaryota; Metazoa; Chordata; Mammalia; Carnivora; Canidae.